This is a long non-coding RNA of Homo sapiens (human), 1585 nucleotides long. Ensembl annotates it as long intergenic non-protein coding RNA 1478. The record is from Ensembl. NCBI's taxonomy places the organism in Eukaryota, Metazoa, Chordata, Mammalia, Primates, Hominidae.
ACACGAUGCAUUUUCUUUUCUUAUCACCAAACUGUUUUGAAAGAUAAAAGUACUUCCUGAAUAUGUGGAUGGUGAGCCACGUGAAUGGAAGACAUGGAGAUAUGGACUGUUAACACCUUGUCAAACAUUUAUUGUCCCUUCCACCUCUAAACUUCUGUGAUAAUAGGUGAACAGGACCCACGUGGUGCAGAAUACUGCGAUACACACUGCGGAAUAAUUCAGUGCAGAACAACACGUGGAUUGCUCAGUACAACUUGUUCAUCACAUCCUCCUGUUCACUGAAGAAUUAUGGAAAUAUUCUCUGAGCUGCUUUCCUCCCUGCCCAACGAGUCAUCUCUGUGUGAAAGGCCAAGCUUAUAAAUCCUGGGACUGGGAGUUGGAGAGGGGAGACUGGAGAGAGUAGGAAGGGAAACUGGAAAUGAAAAGAAAAACACUGAGCCCCACAGUUUCAAGUCGGAGACAAAUUAUCUCAAGUGCUCCAGAACUUCUGGACUAGCUUUCAUGAUGGAAAAAGUGUUCUCUUCAUACUACCAAGAAACAUGAUGAGCUGAGAUUCCAGCCAUAGUUCUUUAGGAUCCACAGCACGACUUGCAGUAAACGGCGCUAGAAGAAAGAGACAUUAUACAAAUGCAAGCUGUUGUCACAACAAUGAUAAGAAAUCAGGAGUCGAAAGAUGUGGAGUAAGGGGGAAUUUCAGAGAAACCACAAAACACAAAAUAGGAAACAGAGACAGGAGAAGAUUGCUAUGACAAAAUUGCAGAAGGUGAAAUCUUUGGCAGCCUCUUAUUUCUCUGGAGAAUAUGAUAUUGUCAGGCUGAGGUGGAAGAAUCACAUGGUCAUACUGUUGAAGAGGUCUUGAAACAUUGGGCUUUCCUCUACAAGCGGAAGGAUAGCACUGGCAGCCAUCCACUGGCCCAGCAAUAUCCUGGAUUGAGACGAUAUCAUUUGCAUUACUUGCUGAAUGAAACAUAGUGAAAAUGACUGCAGAUAACCUCAACUAAGUCCAAGAUAUCAUUUUCAAAUCUGGACCAGCCCUUGCCAUCUAGACUGAACAGAGAUUCCAGUUUCCAGGAGAGUAGAUGGAGUAAUGAUAAAAGCACCUCCCAAAACUUUUGCCUUGCUCCAUCAAAACUUAUAAAAUCUUGGGAAGAGGAACUGUGGCCCAUCACUGAUCAUUUCAUCUAUUAAGUGACCACUUAUUGUCUUAUAAUAGGAGAUGUUCUGGAAACAUGCAUUGAAUCGAAGUGGCUUUGAGGAAGCAUGAAGAGAAAACAGGAUGGCAUCCUUUUGGCACCAUUUCUUAUGCUAUAAUAAGGAUUCCUUCUGUUUACACAUAAAACAGAAGAGUUUAAUCACCCCAGCAAUCUUUAACUUGGUAAUGAAGGCCAUAAAUUAAAUUUUAAGCAAAGUUAAAGAAGAUGAGAUGAAAUAUAAAACAAAAACAUCAUCAGAAUCUGCCCAGGAACAAUAUUCUUGACACCAAACCAUGACAUUAUGGGGCUCAGUUGUUUGUUUCUAGGGCAGCCCCUUGUUUUAUGUGCCAAAUAGCAUUUCCCUAAAUAAAACUGCAUGGAACAAAAUGCCA